UACGUACGAGGCGAGCGUUAUCCGGAAUUACUGGGCGUAAAGCGCGCGCAGGCGGACCAUUAAGUUGGGCGUGAAAUCUCCCGGCCUAACUGGGAGGGGUCGCCCAAGACUGGUGGUCUUGAGGACAGCAGAGGUGGGUGGAAUUCCGGGUGUAGCGGUGGAAUGCGUAGAGAUCCGGAAGAACACCGGUGGCGAAGGCGGCCUGCUGGGCAGUAGCUGACACUGAGGCGCGACAGCGUGGGGAGCAAACAGG
Molecule: ribosomal RNA, 253 nt
Filed under: uncultured bacterium
Lineage: Bacteria
Description: partial 16S ribosomal RNA
Rfam family: Bacterial small subunit ribosomal RNA
Source: RNAcentral